CAUGCAAGUCGAACGGAAAGGCCCUUUCGGGGGUACUCGAGUGGCGAACGGGUGAGUAACACGUGGGUGAUCUGCCCUGCACUUUGGGAUAAGCCUGGGAAACUGGGUCUAAUACCGGAUAGGACUACGCGAUGCAUGUCGUGUGGUGGAAAGCUUUUGCGGUGUGGGAUGGGCCCGCGGCCUAUCAGCUUGUUGGUGGGGUGAUGGCCUACCAAGGCGACGACGGGUAGCCGGCCUGAGAGGGUGACCGGCCACACUGGGACUGAGAUACGGCCCAGACUCCUACGGGAGGCAGCAGUGGGGAAUAUUGCACAAUGGGCGCAAGCCUGAUGCAGCGACGCCGCGUGAGGGAUGACGGCCUUCGGGUUGUAAACCUCUUUCAGCUCCGACGAAGCGCAAGUGACGGUAGGGGUAGAAGAAGGACCGGCCAACUACGUGCCAGCAGCCGCGGUAAUACGUAGGGUCCGAGCGUUGUCCGGAAUUACUGGGCGUAAAGAGCUCGUAGGUGGUUUGGCGCGUUAAGGGUGAAAACUCACA
Molecule: ribosomal RNA, 537 nt
Filed under: uncultured Mycobacterium sp.
Lineage: Bacteria; Bacillati; Actinomycetota; Actinomycetes; Mycobacteriales; Mycobacteriaceae
Description: bacterial SSU rRNA
Rfam family: Bacterial small subunit ribosomal RNA
Source: RNAcentral